AACAAACACAAAAUUAGUUUCAAUGGCAUAGUGUGGCAACGAUUGACAAUUACAUUUAAUAUGACACAGUGAAAUUAGGAUGAAUUUAAGUGUUAACAUUAAAUAACGUGAUUUCUAGUUUUGUAAUAUAUUAAAAUGGUAUUGCCCAAGUCCCUCCACGUCGAAAAAAGCCUAUGCAUUCUUAUAAGGCCUAUGCCAACAACGUAUUUAAUCAGCUGCGCUCAGAUUGGUUAAAAGCCAGGGGCUGCCUGUAAUUCACUUCCGGUUCAAUGCAUUUAAAACGAAGGGAGAGCGGCACAGCGCUUAGAUGCUGCGCCGCGGAUUUGCCAGAUGGAUGGAUAAGGAUGCUGGUGGUGGAUGGAUUUUCACGUGGCAUAGCAAGGUGCUGUGAGGAAAAACUCAGUGACACGUUCAGCCACGGACGAGGAGGUCACAAAGCAUGCCAUCAGGUUCAACCUGGCAGAAGAUCGGGCCACUAGGAGACGUCCCGCCUCCUUCCAAACGGAGUAGCCUAAGCUAAUAAGAGAAAUAAGAAUUAAAAAAUAUUUUUUAUUGAA
This is a long non-coding RNA of Alosa sapidissima (American shad), 557 nucleotides long. RefSeq lists it as uncharacterized. The transcript has 2 exons. The record is from RefSeq and is a predicted model, not a curated record. Lineage: Eukaryota; Metazoa; Chordata; Actinopteri; Clupeiformes; Clupeidae.